GUAUUCUGCACGGACUGCUGGGCAGCACUAGCACUCUGGAGAAGGUCUGCCGCUGUCUGCACUUUCCUGGUGAGAAUCCCCAAUGACAGUCCCACUUUUCAGUGGAGGAGAACAAAAUAUCUGUCUACUCUCUUGAAGAAGGACACGGCUUUGAUCAUAUUUGUUCAGGCUUGACUUGGCCGGAGGUUUUAGGUUCUUAGUCUCAAGUCAGCAGUCUCUCUCUCUCUCUCUCUCUCUCUCUCUCUCUCUCUCUCUGAAACACACACACACAGAGACGCACACACACACAAGCACACACAUACACAAGCGCAAAUCCUCUCUUUCUCUUUCUCUCAUUUCCCGUCAUAGGUUCUAUGCAGGCAGAUGAGUGUCACAGCUGUAACUGAGGCACAGAGCAGUACACACAGUGGAGCCGAUUUCCGCGAUGGCGAGAGGGGGCACCGGAGGUGACAACAAUAACAAGACUGUCCUUCGGACAAGUUUUAGCGCUGAAUAUCUUCAGGAAAAUGGGUUCCAUGAGAAGUGACAUCCUCCUCGAAUCAAAAGAUUCUCAGGAUGAUGGAGUGAGUGAUGGAAUAGGUUGCCAACUGUAGUUACUCCACUCAGCACAGAAUGGCUGCGGGGAAAUAUAAUCAGACAUGCCCAAAGAAGUCUGCUUAGGGUGAAACAAAUACCUUUGAGGUUUAAAUCAGGAAGGAGAGACUGUUUCUACAGGUGUCAUACAAAAAUCAAUACUGAGCCAAGGAUUAUUGGAUCCCAUAGAACCACGGAGACUUGGUAGUGAAAUUCUUCCAAAGCAUUCCAUCCGUGCAGGCAGAUGGUGUUCCUAGGUUUGGAAAUAUAAAUCCCAUGGGAAGUCAGCUGAAGACCAUUUUAUGCAUCACUCAUCCUGUUAGAGCCCUGUGCUGUUCUGUCUCUCUAUAAGACUGGCUGAAACCACCACGGUUGUUUACAAUUUAUGCUCUAACUUUGGAUCACCUAGUUAAUACUCUAACUCCGAUUAUUACCAAAGACAAUGUUCUAUAAAAGAUAUUGUCUAUUAGAAGGAUGCUUCUGCAUUAUUAAUAAAAUCACAGGGAAAAUGCAACAUUUUGGAUGUCACAUCUGAUAAGUUGGCAGUUAAAGAACAGAAACAGCAAUAAGACUGCGUGGCUACAUUUUCCCAGUGCCACCAACUGGGAUUUAAGCUGACUAACAUUUUGAAAGCCCAGCCCAUUUCAUUCACAGCAGGAUGGCAGUGGGUGACUGAUCGUACCCGCCAGCUGGCUAAUGUCAUAAUUAACAAAGUUGCUACUACAUCUGCAAAGUUUAAUCGAAAAAUUUGCCAGUGAUAUGAUGGCCUUGUCACAGAGAUCACAAGGGACACGGAGUUGACUUUUGCUCAAGGUGGAACGACAGAGCUGUGUAGGCAAGAUGAGAAAUUGCGAACUUGUUCGGCCAAAGGAUUAUCUCCUGAGAUGUGUAGAAAUGAACUCUUGUCAGAGUUUCAAAGGAAUUAACGUUUUUUGGUAAAAUGUGCUAAUGUAAAGAGUGAGAAGAUUAGUGAUACAUAAUGAAAGCAAUGCAUUCUUUCACAUGGAAAUGGGAAUAUAAUAAAUGUCCUGCAGGUGAUUGGGGCUGUAGCAAUUUUAUUGAAGAUUAAAGUUUGAUUGACCUUUGUUAGGGUGAUUAACCCUUCUGAAAUUAAAAGCCAGAGCUGAAUUAUUCUGCUCAAUUUAAAUGCAAACAUCGAGCAGGUCGUAUGUCAUUCAAAUAAUAAUAAGAAGAAAAUCUUCCUAUUUUAAUUUUCAUUUUUGCACUUCUGAGUGGUAUGCUGCUUUAGAAGGACCAUAGCUCUCGCAAAAGCAUUCUGGUGGCAGAGAAUAUACAAUAACGUUACAGAUAAUUGGGAGCAUAUAGGAAGAGUCCCAAGCACUACUGCCUGCAUUCGAAACAUCAAAACCACCAUCCCAACAAAAGCACGGAGCAUGAAGCCAAUCUCUGUACACUGAAAAUGCAUGCUCCCAAUAGAAAAACAACCUAGGGAUGUCCUGAAGGGGUUAGGAAUAAAUAACAAUGACAUCUCUAUUCUAGUUCAGUGCCAACCACCGAAAUUGCAUAUCAUAUCCAUGUUAAAUCUACAUGAUGUCUCCUGGAAAUGCGUGCUUUUUGGUACAGUUGCUUAUGAAGCAGUUUCUAAAAGUUGAUUAUUUCUGAUGUCUGGAAUUUCAUUCUCCAUGAUCUCUGGCAGUUUCUGAAUAUAUUCAGUAUUUUCAUUAAGUUCAAAAAUGCUGUAGGAGAAGCUAACGAAUUAUUUGCAAUGCCAUUUAAUGGUUUAGUUUUAUUUUUCUCUGUUAAAUUUUCUAAGCCUUGGUGAAAAGUUGUGUAUUCACAUUUCUUCAAAAAACUGUUUCCAUUUUUCAUAUCAUGUUAAUUUUGUUUAGUUCUAAGUCAGUGAAUAUUUUUAGUCUUAGGUCCCACCACAUAGUGAAUGUGUCUGCCUUUUAUGUAUCUGUGAACUAUUAAAAUGAUAAUAAAGGUUCUCUUCCUUCCA
RNAcentral lists this long non-coding RNA (2533 nucleotides) under Homo sapiens (human). Lineage: Eukaryota; Metazoa; Chordata; Mammalia; Primates; Hominidae. The record is from RNAcentral.